Molecule: ribosomal RNA, 2814 nt
Filed under: Triticum aestivum (bread wheat)
Lineage: Eukaryota; Viridiplantae; Streptophyta; Magnoliopsida; Poales; Poaceae
Description: partial small subunit ribosomal RNA
Source: RNAcentral
AUGGCAAAAGCAGACAUGGACACGCUCCAACUAGCCUGCAUCCAGAUAGCCAUAGCCUUGCUCUUGCUUACUCAAGCCAAGAGCACCACAGAGGACACAUCUGCCGUGCGUCCAAAUAAUACGGUCCCCAGCUGUAUUGCCGGUGAGAGGUCUGCCCUUCUCGCCUUCAGGGCAGGUCUAUCAGACCCUACCAACCUCCUUCCAUCAUGGAAGGGUGAUGACUGCUGCCGAUGGAAGGGCGUCUACUGCAGCAACAGAACCAGCCAUGUUGUCAGGCUCGAUCUCCGAGGCCCAGGUUACAGAACCGGCAAUGAGAGCAGGCAGGUACUAGCAGGCAACAUAAGUUCCUCGUUGCUUGGUUUACAUCAUCUUCGGUAUCUCGACCUCAGCUACAAUCGGUUUGACAAGAUGCAAAUACCAGAGUUCAUGGGUUCUCUCCAUCAGCUAAGAUAUCUUGACCUAUCGUGGUCACAGUUCAUUGGAAGGAUACCACCGCAGCUGGGUAAUCUCUCCAACUUACAGUACCUAAAUCUUGACACCAUCUCAUACGUGAGUGUUGAUUCUUCUUUCCAUAGAGGCACAUAUUCCACCGAUAUCACCUGGUUGUCACGGUUAACUUCCCUUGAGCACCUGGAUAUGACUGGGGUGAACCUCAGUACAAUUGUUCACUGGCUUCGCGUGGUGAACAUGCUUCCAACUCUGAAAGUUCUUCGCCUUAUCCAUUGCCAGCUUAGAAUUAGCCCUGAUUCUCUAGAUAUCUCGAGCAAUGGUUUCUAUGGCCCGUUUCCAGAUGCGAUAGGUAAUAUGACCUCCAUUGUGGAGCUUGAUUUAUCAGAUAAUAACCUUGUGGGCAUGAUACCAUUUAAUAUGAAGAACCUAUGUAAUUUGGAGACAUUAGAUUUUUCUGUGAACAAUAUCAACGGGAGUAUAGCAGAAUUAUUCCAUCGAUUACCCAGUUGUUCGCGGAAUAAUCUACAAUGGUUGUCUCUACACCACAACAAUCUGACUGGAAGCCUGCCUACUACAGCAGUAGAAAGAUUAAGUAACCUGAGCUGGCUGGAUCUACACCACAACAAACUCACAGGUCAUGUCCCGGUGUGGAUAGGAGAGCUCAAACAACUAAUGAUGUUGGACCUUAGUUAUAACAACCUGGACGGGGUCAUACAUGAAGGUCAUUUAUCACGUCUAGAUAUGUUGGAGGAAUUGAGAUUAUCAGACAACUCCAUAGCCAUCACAGUGAGCCCAACUUGGGUUCCUCCUUUCAGUCUAGGAACAAUUGAACUUCGGUCCUGUCAGCUAGGGCCAAAAUUCCCAAUGUGGCUUAGAUGGCAAACACACGUAAUGAGUCUUGAUAUAUCAAACACAAGCAUAAAUGAUAUAAUACCGGAUUGGUUUUGGACAGCAGCUUCCUCAGUAAUGUCUCUGAAUAUCCGAAAUAAUCAGAUUACAGGAUUCCUACCAUCAACAAUGGAAUUUAUGAGAGCAAAACAAAUGGAUUUCAGUUCUAACCAGCUUGGUGGUCCAAUACCUAAGCUUCCCAUCACUCUAACCAACCUGGAUCUCAGUCGGAACAAUCUAGUUGGGCCACUACCAUUAGACUUUGGAGCGCCAGGGCUUGAAAACCUUUUUCUAUAUAACAACAUGAUCUCUGGGGCCAUUCCAUCUUCUUUGUGCAAGUUGCGAUCAUUGCAGUCAUUAGAUCUAUCAAGAAAUAACCUCAAUGGACCAAUUACUGAUUGCCCAGUCAAUGAGUCCAGCACAAACAUGACAGAUCUUAGCAUUGUUAAUCUAAGCUUCGGAAACAACAACCUCUCUGGUGAAUUUCCUUCACUUCUCCAGAAAUGUCCACGACUCAUCUUUCUUGAUCUCGGACAUAAUCAAUUCUCCGGGGCUUUACCAGCAUGGAUUGGGGAGAAGCUAUCAUCUUUGUCAUUCUUACGACUGAGAUCCAAUAUGUUUCAUGGUCAAAUUCCAGUCGAGCUUACAAAGCUUGUUAAUCUUCAAUAUUUGGACCUUGCAUACAACAAUAUAUCAGGGUGCAUACCAAGAUCUAUUGUUAACUGCACAGGCAUGAUACAAAAAGGUGACAAUUCUGAUGAACUUUUGUAUGGAUUCACUAGUGGAACAAGGCUUUUUCCUGAGAAUGAACUAGUUGACAAUGCGGACAGUGUCACUGUACUUACAAAAGGUCAAGAGAGACUAUAUACAGGAGGAAUCAUAGAUAUGGUGAAUCUUGAUUUAUCUUGUAAUAGUCUUACAGGAGAGAUUCCUGAAGAAAUCAGCACUCUUAUGGAAUUGAAGAACCUGAACUUAUCAUGGAACAACUUCAAUGGAAAAAUCCCUGAGAAUGUUGGUGCCUUAAUGCAAGUGGAGUCACUCGACCUAUCGCACAACGAUUUGUCUGGUGAAAUCCCUUCAAGCUUAUCGGCUCUCACAUCACUGAGUUGCCUGAACCUGUCCUACAACAAUCUGAGAGGAAGGAUACCAACUGGAAAUCAACUGCAAACACUCGAAGACCCAACAUAUAUUUAUAUUGGCAACCCCGGCCUCUGCGGUCCUCUCUCUGUAAAUUGUUCGUCACAGCCAGAGCCAAUUCCAGGAGAAAACCACGGAGAUGCAAGCGGCGACUUGGUUUCGUUUUUCCUCGCCAUGGGCUCUGGAUAUGUGAUGGGUCUCUGGGUGGUAUUCUGUACCUUCUUGUUCAAGAGGAGAUGGAGAGUUUCAUGGUACUCGCUCUGUGACAGCCUGUAUGAUUGGGUUUAUGUACAAGUGGCUGUUACCUGGACUUCCUUCAGAGCUGAAAUUAAUGGGUAG